AGUGAACGCUGGCGGUAGGCCUAACACAUGCAGGUCGAACGGCAGCACAGUAAGAGCUUGCUCUUACGGGUGGCGAGUGGCGGACGGGUGAGGAAUACAUCGGAAUCUACUUUUUCGUGGGGGAUAACGUAGGGAAACUUACGCUAAUACCGCAUACGACCUACGGGUGAAAGCAGGGGAUCUUCGGACCUUGCGCGAUUGAAUGAGCCGAUGUCGGAUUAGCUAGUUGGCGGGGUAAAGGCCCACCAAGGCGACGAUCCGUAGCUGGUCUGAGAGGAUGAUCAGCCACACUGGAACUGAGACACGGUCCAGACUCCUACGGGAGGCAGCAGUGGGGAAUAUUGGACAAUGGGCGCAAGCCUGAUCCAGCCAUACCGCGUGGGUGAAGAAGGCCUUCGGGUUGUAAAGCCCUUUUGUUGGGGAAGAAAAGCAGCAGGUUAAUACCCCGCUGUUCUGACGGUACCCAAAGAAUAAGCACCGGCUAACUUCGUG
Molecule: ribosomal RNA, 492 nt
Filed under: uncultured bacterium
Lineage: Bacteria
Description: partial 16S ribosomal RNA
Rfam family: Bacterial small subunit ribosomal RNA
Source: RNAcentral